RNAcentral lists this unclassified non-coding RNA (340 nucleotides) under Athalia rosae (coleseed sawfly). RNAcentral's name for it is "misc RNA ENSAEAG00005003271.1". Lineage: Eukaryota; Metazoa; Arthropoda; Insecta; Hymenoptera; Athaliidae. The record is from RNAcentral.
GCUGUAUAUCGCGUAAAUUAUUUCUAGGGUAGUUGCAAAGUUCUCGAUUCGGAUUGUACCUAAUCAAACACCAGAAGAGAUUUACCGACACCUUGAUAACUAUAUAAAAAAAAUAUGGAAUUGUUGCAAAAGCGUAAACCAGUAUAGUUUUAAAAUGGAUUUUGGAAUCGAACCCUGGCGAGAUGAUCCUUUUAAUACACAUUAUCAAGCAGCAGCAGCAGCAAUUAAAUACGUGUACGGCGUGCAACCUAUAUACUUAUGUCAAGGUUGUACAAUUCCUGCAAUUGCCGCACUCCAAUUCAUAUGUACAGGAAGUAGUAUUUUGGUACUGCCAAUUAGG